Non-coding RNA from Acanthosepion pharaonis, 112 nucleotides. NCBI's taxonomy places the organism in Eukaryota, Metazoa, Mollusca, Cephalopoda, Sepiida, Sepiidae. The record is from the annotation of a GenBank genome assembly.
AUGAUUAAAUCAUGCUGAAAACACCAGUUCUCAUUCAAUCACCAAAGUUAAGCAGUGUCGAGCCCGGUUAGUAUUUCAAUGGGGGACCAUUUAGGAACACUAGGGGCUGUAA